This 124-nucleotide non-coding RNA is filed under the name Paraoerskovia marina. Its description in RNAcentral is "TPP sequence". It matches the Rfam family "TPP riboswitch aptamer (THI element)". From Rfam's summary of the family: Vitamin B(1) in its active form thiamin pyrophosphate (TPP) is an essential coenzyme that is synthesised by coupling of pyrimidine and thiazole moieties in bacteria. The previously detected thiamin-regulatory element, thi box was extended, resulting in a new, highly conserved RNA secondary structure, the THI element, which is widely distributed in eubacteria and also occurs in some archaea. Lineage: Bacteria; Bacillati; Actinomycetota; Actinomycetes; Micrococcales; Cellulomonadaceae. The record is from Rfam by way of RNAcentral.
ACACACCACGCGGGGAAUCUCUGUCCGACACCGUCGGCCGGGACUGAGAUGGGCGGGAGAACCGUCCGGACCCGUUGAACCUGAUCUCGCCAGAACGAGCGGAGGAACGUGGCAUGACUGCCGU